CAUGGGCAUAUCCUUUUGAGUCGUCUCUCACCAACAAUGCGACUGCUGCCAUUGAUUGUCGUGCUUUGUGUGGUGUUGGUGACCACUGAAGGUGGUAGGUGUCGCAAAUUCGGCAAGGCGUGUGGAAAAUGGAACAGGGAUGUCUGCCGCUGGUGCUGGAGACCUCACAAGCGUCUCUGCUGUCUUCCGGGCGACACAUACGGUGAGUGCGGGAGAAAAUGCAGUUUCCCAAAUACCUGCAGCACACUAAACGGCAACUGUCACAAAGGAUGGUGCUGCGUAUACUGCAAAGGAAAACAUUGCAAGAAUGGCUAGCUGCACCACUUGCUGCCGGCUGCCGCUGUCGUCAAGGGAUGGAUAACGACUGCACUGACGCCAGAUGUGAAGUGACUGCAUGCACAAGGAAGACCCAUGCUAUGUUGGUGGUGUAACAGCAAAGUCGUACGUAAUUCUUAACAGGUGUUUAUGCGAACCGGACAUUUAGCUGCUUGUAGUUGGGCUUUACGUUGAAUGCAAUUACGGAACCAACUAUUUGUUAGCAUCUGUUGUGCCAGCUCAAGAUGCAUCGGCGCCGGUCCGUAAAGCAUGGGUAUUGUGGCGGGCAGUGCGAACGACACCUGGUCAUCUGACAAACGUGUACUCGACGUCCUCAGGUACAAAGUAGGUCAUUUUCAGGUUGACAAAAUGCCCAUAUCAGCGUCUCAUGGAUCGACAGGUCCAGACGCAGACUUCUUUCCCGCUUAAGGUAUGGAACUCGAGGCAUGUAAUUCGUUGAAAUUGAAAACAUUGAAAACUGCAGCACUCAGAACAUGGACGUUUUCUGCGGCGAUCGCCUGCUCUUCGAUCUCCUGAACUGCGACAUUCCGAGCACUGAUUUCUCUAAUCCAAAGUCUCUUAACUUUGACCUUGUACCAGACUUUUGACAUUGUAUCGGCCGAAAAGGCCUCGAACACCUGAACGUAGGCCACCUUAGCGCCGAAUAUUUCAACAUCGACCUUUUGUGUCUCGGUUUCCCGAGCUUCUCAGGUCUGGACCUUGGCCUUCUGAGCACGACCUCCAGAUUCUUGAGCCAACCUUGAAGAAAAUCGUAGGAAAGCCUAAAUAGUUGAGUUUUUCAUGGCCCCUAACUGUUGCCUGGAAAAUUUGGGCAUUUUUUUUGCAUCUGUACAGUUUUGUUCACUGGUGCUUCCAUUUAACAGAAAACCCGGCAUAUUUUCCUCGUUAAGUAAGUAACAAGUUCGAUUAUCAAGGCUUUCGGUGAGGUUUUCGCUCCAUGCAUAUCGAUUUUACAUCAGAUUCCUUCAGCCAGAUUAAUGAGCAUGGGUUGAUGACUAGAUGAGUCAACUUCGAAGAAAAACAUAAGGGCCACCUUAUAGCUAUGAUUGCUUCCAACUAUUUCAACCUACCUCUUGACAAGAUGCGUGAUGAUCGUUUUCACAUUUCAUUUCCAUCGUUUGUGUUGGGGUUUAUCAGUGUUUUCAUUUGAUAUGCAGCGCGGCCUACGCAUGCUGUAACGCCGUUACACAAGCGAAACAUUCUCUUAGAUAGUUUUCCUACGUGAUUUCGCCGUCCUAAAGAUGGUCCAUAUGGUUUCUGCAGCCAUCAAAAUGAGCAUCGGUCGACGGUCUAAUAAAUUGUUACAAAAAAGCCCACGGGCAGCAGCAUAGACAAAACGUUUUGCGGAUCGUGUACAACUUCCACUCUAGGCAAGGUAGGUCAUAUUAUUAAGCAUCGCUGCCUUGGCAUCAACAGGAGUUCCCUCGAGAUGAUGCAGCUGGCUAGAAUUUUGACUUCCUCGGGGAGAUAUUUGCCCGUAAAGUGCACGAAUGGUGCCAAAUCUAGGCUGAAUUUGGGGUAAGAUACGUUACAAUAUUGUUCCAGGGAAUAAAUUGACAGGAUAUUGCUGCUAAUUUAAGUAUCAUUCAUAACUGAGUAUGCAACGCUGGGCAUUUAACGUAUAAGCUGUCUGCUGGAUGUCACCCUAUAGAAUGCAAUUUCCUAACAAACAGAAGUGUUCCACAUUGCUGUUUUGGCCUGAACUAGCUAUCUUGAGGACCUUUCGAUACUGUUCACAAUCCUGCCCUUUUUAAGACAUGACACACACGCCGGAUGAUUAAGACACAUACGCUGGAUGAUUUUUAAUGUACUUGAGCCAGGUAUAUGGAGAGCGGAAAGUUUGAAGAAAUGUUACCAAGUUGUGCUAAACACAACCUUGCACCAAACUACGCAUCGAGCUUAAACAAUGCCUCCGAAAGCAGGAGUGCCUUUCGAAAAGAGCCGCUGUGUUAGACGCUACAGGUGAGAAAUCAACACCAUAGUACGACCUUUCAUGUAAUUCCUAUGCCAACGCCCACAUCCUCGAAUACAUCAGUCCCUUAACACGCGCUCGGGUGGGAGGGGUCAAAUUGACCCCCUCCCCGAAAAUUUUUCCCGAAUGGUUCCCAACAAUUCCCGGUCCCUGAUCCGUAAAGAUGAAAACUGUUGCAAAACAAGCUGCAAAAGUGAAGCCAGCAAGAGGAGUCUUUCUAGGGUGGCAAGGAACCCUCAAAGGGGAAGUUAAGUGGUCAGGCAGUGUAUCGGAUCCUUUCUUUGUACAUGAUGGUAUGCGUCAAGGGGGUAACGUCUUACCACUGCUGUUCAAUGUGUACAUAGUUUAGCCUCUUUGUGAGUUGCAAAUGUUACCAAUCGGUUGUUAUGUGGUGAAAUGUACAGCGAAUGAACUAGUCUCUGCUGUUGACAGGGUGCUUUUAUCUACCACGAGGAGAGGGCCUGGAGCGUUGGCUCGGAUACGCAAAGGAUUUGCCAUGCGCAGAAAUAUUCAAAUCAAUAAAGAAAGCUGUGCAUGUAUUUCAACUCUCAAAGAUCAUAUACAGUGCCACACCUGUCUAACUCAAGCUCCCCAACAUCAUUGUUAAUGAAUACAUAAUAGCAUGAGCGGAGGAGCUUAAACAUAGGCCUUUUAGUGGCCAGUUCUCCCAGUGGCAGUCAUGUUAUGCGAAGAGUUUAAGUGUCCUUGUAUAACGGCAGAAAACUUUGAUCUAACUGUUCCAAGCAUAUUAUACCAGCGUGUAUAUUGUGAACUGUGCAACACUGUGAAUGGAAAGAAAGGAUUUCGAGAACGCUGUAUGGCCUACCACUUAUAUAAAGAGAAGCUGGUAAGGGUGCCGCGGUGGACAAGGAUUCAUUAUCUGUGUAAAAAGCUUGAACCUCUACCUAUGGAUAUCUGGGAACAGCUUCUAUGGAUAUGUGGGAAACGAUCUCACCUUAAGCAGUGCUUGUUGUGCGAGCUCUGACCCCUGCCAUCCGAUCGCGCGAUUCCACGCAACGGCAGAAUUUCAUGGCGUACGUUUAACGUGCCGCAAUGCUCGGCACGGUCCGUCCUGCCCUCUGACGUCAUCUGACCUUUAUCGCGGCCGCUGCCACCGGCCGCAGGCAAUACCUGACAAGGACAAAUAGAGAGCGCUCAAAACGACGCGAACGCACCCCGGCAUGGGUGGCAGAAUCGGAAGAUAGGAGCUCUGACCAACUGAACGAACGGGACGGGAAAGUCUUGUCCCAGGUUAGCACCUAUAUAGUAGCUGGAGUUCAACCAAAUACUCGUGUCCGUUGAGAACAGCAUUGUUGAGGCAUUGCACGUAAGCAAAGUAGAGUUAGUGGGGUCAUUGCCAGGACAUGUGCGCAUGCGAGACAUGCAUAUAAUUUUAUGGCAUCGAACCUCCCGGCAGUCAGCAGGUCACAUGUUCGGGACAUCUUUUCGCCCACCUGGGUCGGUUUGUCCGUGAUCACCACCAAAUGCACCAAGUAGGUCAUGACCCAGAAUAAUGUCCUCCGACCUUUCAGGCAAGUACUGACUGCGUUGCCUUCUGCCUUGAUUUAUGCUUGUGAGUGUGCUACGUUUGUCCUUUAUGUGCGAAGAUAGGUACCAGUCUGAUGGUGGAAAAAGAACUGGAUUAUUGAUAUCAUUAUUGCUAUUAAACCAGACGUCUCUGAUCUACCUCUCCGCAAAAGGUGCAAAAAGGUCGAAAAUGUUACAAAUUCGGCCAGGCGUGCGGUACAUGGAACAGGGAUGUCUGCCGCUGGUGCCGGAAACCUCACAAGCGUCUCUGCUGUCGCUCGGGCGACACCUUCGAGGAAUGCAAAGCAAAAUGCCACUACCCAUAUCAAUGCCGCACAUUAGGAGGAACGUGUACCAAAGGAUGGUGCUGUCCUCUGUACUAUCCGUAGACGGCCGCCACGUCGAAGACACCGAUGUUUCAGGUGGAAAGUGUUACAGAUUCGGCCAGGCGUGUGGAAAAUGGAAAACAAAUGUCUGCCGCUGGUGCUGGAAACCUCACAAGCAUCUCUGCUGUCUUUGGGGCGACACCUUCAAGGAAUGCAGAAGAAAAUGUCGCUUCCCCCGUCGAUGCAGCACAUUGAGAGGACGCUGUAGCAAAGGAUGGUGCUGUAUUCGGUGCAAAGGAAAACAUUGCAAGGGUUAACUGCACCACCUACUGUCGGCUGCCGCUGUCAUCACGGGAUGGAUAGCGACUGCAGUGAUGUUGAUAUGUCGCUGCAUGCACACGGUAUUCCUAUUUUAUGUUGAACGCACUUUUGCAAGAUCGUGUUCGAUUUCCUGCACGUGUUUAUGCGAACCGGACAGGCAGCUUCUUAGGAGAGGGUGUUACAUUGAAUACAAUUACGGGAUCGUG
Pollicipes pollicipes is the source of this 4688-nucleotide long non-coding RNA. RefSeq lists it as uncharacterized. The transcript is spliced from 7 exons. NCBI's taxonomy places the organism in Eukaryota, Metazoa, Arthropoda, Thecostraca, Pollicipedomorpha, Pollicipedidae. The record is from RefSeq and is a predicted model, not a curated record.